UACAGAGGUCUCAAGCGUUGUUCGGAUUCAUUGGGCGUAAAGGGUGCGUAGGUGGCGCUGUAAGUCGGGUGUGAAAUUUCGGAGCUUAACUCCGAAACUGCAUUCGAUACUGCGGUGCUUGAGUCCGGUAGGGGAGUGUGGAAUUCCCGGUGUAGCGGUGAAAUGCGCAGAUAUCGGGAGGAACACCAGUAGCGAAGGCGGCACUCUGGGCCGGUACUGACGCUGAGGAGCGAAAGCGUGGGGAGCAAACAGG
This 253-nucleotide ribosomal RNA is filed under the name uncultured bacterium. Its description in RNAcentral is "partial 16S ribosomal RNA". It matches the Rfam family "Bacterial small subunit ribosomal RNA", at positions 524 to 776 of the family's 1533-position model. The record is from RNAcentral.